RNAcentral lists this ribosomal RNA (400 nucleotides) under uncultured bacterium. RNAcentral's name for it is "bacterial SSU rRNA". It matches the Rfam family "Bacterial small subunit ribosomal RNA", at positions 356 to 773 of the family's 1533-position model. The record is from RNAcentral.
GGGGAAUAUUGCACAAUGGGGGAAACCCUGAUGCAGCAACGCCGCGUGAGGGAAGAAGGUCUUCGGAUUGUAAACCUUUGUCCUUGGUGACGAUAAUGACGGUAGCCAAGGAGGAAGCUCCGGCUAACUACGUGCCAGCAGCCGCGGUAAUACGUAGGGAGCGAGCGUUGUCCGGAUUUACUGGGUGUAAAGGGUGCGUAGGCGGCUCUGCAAGUCGGGUGUGAAAACCAUCGGCUUAACUGAUGGACUGCAUUUGAAACUGUGGGGCUUGAGUGAAGUAGAGGUAGGCGGAAUUCCCGGUGUAGCGGUGAAAUGCGUAGAGAUCGGGAGGAACACCAGUGGCGAAGGCGGCCUACUGGGCUUUAACUGACGCUGAAGCACGAAAGCAUGGGGAGCAAAC